This 497-nucleotide ribosomal RNA is filed under the name uncultured bacterium. RNAcentral's name for it is "partial 16S ribosomal RNA". It matches the Rfam family "Bacterial small subunit ribosomal RNA", at positions 29 to 507 of the family's 1533-position model. The record is from RNAcentral.
AAUGAACGCUGGCGGCGUGCCUAACACAUGCAAGUCGAGCGAACACAUCAGGAGUUUUCUCCCCUGAGUUUGUCGCCCGUCGGAUGCGUCACUCGUGGAUAACCUACCUCUAAGACUGGGAUAAUAUCGCGAAACCAUAUCUACUACCCGAUAAUAUAUCGAACUUCAUUGUUCAAUAGUUAAAUUCGCUUUUUCUUACACUUAUAGACUGAUCCGCGCCGCAUCAGUUAGUUGGUAAGGUAACGGCUUACCAAGGCAACGAUGCGUAGCCGACCUGAGAGGGUGAACGGCAAGACUGGAACUGAGAAACGGUACAGACUCCUAGGGGAGGCAGCAGUAGGGAAUCUUCCGCAAUGGGCGAAAGCCUGACGGAGCAAAGCCGCGUGAGUGAUGAAGGUCUUCGGAUGGUAAAACUCUGUUAUUAGGGAAGAACAAAUGUGUAAGUAACUAGGCACGUCUUGACGGUACCUAAAGAAAAAGCCACGGCUAACUACGUG